This 520-nucleotide ribosomal RNA is filed under the name uncultured bacterium. Its description in RNAcentral is "partial 16S ribosomal RNA". It matches the Rfam family "Bacterial small subunit ribosomal RNA", at positions 28 to 507 of the family's 1533-position model. The record is from RNAcentral.
GACGAACGCUGGCGGCGUGCCUAAUACAUGCAAGUCGAACGCACUCUCGUUUAGAUUGAAGGAGUUUGCUCCUGAUUGAUAAACAUUUGAGUGAGUGGCGGACGGGUGAGUAACACGUGGGUAACCUGCCCUAAAGUGGGGGAUAACAUUUGGAAACAGAUGCUAAUACCGCAUAAAACCUAACACCGCAUGGUGUAGGGUUGAAAGAUGGUUUCGGCUAUCCCUUUAGGAUGGACCCGCGGUGCAUUAGUUAGUUGGUGAGGUAAAAGCUCACCAAGACCGUGAUGCAUAGCCGACCUGAGAGGGUAAUCGGCCACACUGGGACUGAGACACGGCCCAGACUCCUACGGGAGGCAGCAGUAGGGAAUCUUCCACAAUGGACGAAAGUCUGAUGGAGCAACGCCGCGUGAGUGAAGAAGGUUUUCGGAUCGUAAAACUCUGUUGUUGGAGAAGAAUGUAUCUGAUAGUAACUGAUCAGGUAGUGACGGUAUCCAACCAGAAAGCCACGGCUAACUACGUG